This 889-nucleotide ribosomal RNA is filed under the name uncultured archaeon. RNAcentral's name for it is "bacterial SSU rRNA". It matches the Rfam family "Archaeal small subunit ribosomal RNA", at positions 1 to 898 of the family's 1478-position model. The record is from RNAcentral.
UUCCGGUUGAUCCUGCCGGAGGAUACUGCUAUUCGGAUCCGACUAAGCCAUGCGAGUCGAGAGGGGUAAGCCCUCGGCGAACUGCUCAGUAAUAUGUAGCUAACCUACCCUUGGGUUGGGGAUAAACUCGGGAAACUGAGCUCAAUACCCAAUAGGAAUUUGGCUCUGGAAUGACCAAAUUCCCAAAGCUCCGGCGCCCAAGGAUGGGGCUACAUCUUAUCAGCCUGUUGGGGGUGUAACGAACCCUCAAAGCUAUAACGGGUACGGGCCGUGAGAGCGGAAGCCCGGAGAUGGAUUCUGAGACAUGAAUCCAGGUCCUACGGGACGCAGCAGGCGCGAAACCUUCGCAAUGUGCUAACGCACGACGAGGGGAUCCGAAGUGCUGCAGCACUGCUGCAGCUUUUGCCAAGUCCAAACAGCUUGGCGAAUAAGGGGUGGGUAAGACAGGUGCCAGCCGCCGCGGUAAUACCUGCGCCCCAAGUGGUAUCCACUAUUAUUGGGCCUAAAGCGUCCGUAGCCGGUUUGGCAAGUCUCCGGUGAAAUUCACUAGUAAACUAGUGAGCUUGUCGGAGAUACUACCAGACUUGGGACCGGGAGAGGGUAGGGGUACUCCUAGGGGAGGGGUAAAAUCCUAUAAUCCUAGGGGGACCACCGGUGGCGAAGGCGCCUACCUAGAACGGUUCCGACGGUGAGGAACGAAAGCUAGGGGAGCGAUCGGGAUUAGAUACCCCGGUGGUCCUAGCCGUAAACGAUGCCCGCUUGGUGUUGCAGCCUUCUUGGGAGGUUGCAGUGCCGAAGUGAAGAUGUUAAGCGGGCCGCCUGGGGAGUACGGCCGCAAGGUUGAAACUUAAAGGAAUUGGCGGGGGAGCACACAAGGGGUGGAGGCUAC